UACAGAGGGGGCAAGCGUUGUUCGGAAUUACUGGGCGUAAAGGGCGCGUAGGCGGCCUGCUAAGUCGAACGUGAAAUCCCCGGGCUCAACCCGGGAACUGCGUCCGAUACUGGCAGGCUUGAAUUCGGGAGAGGGAUGUGGAAUUCCAGGUGUAGCGGUGAAAUGCGUAGAUAUCUGGAGGAACACCGGUGGCGAAGGCGGCAUCCUGGACCAACACUGACACUGAGGAGCGAAAGCCAGGGGAGCAAACGGG
RNAcentral lists this ribosomal RNA (253 nucleotides) under uncultured bacterium. RNAcentral's name for it is "partial 16S ribosomal RNA". It matches the Rfam family "Bacterial small subunit ribosomal RNA", at positions 524 to 776 of the family's 1533-position model. The record is from RNAcentral.